This 292-nucleotide ribosomal RNA is filed under the name uncultured bacterium. Its description in RNAcentral is "partial 16S ribosomal RNA". The record is from RNAcentral.
GGACUACUCGGGUUUCUAAUCCCAUUUGCUCCCCUGGCUUUCGUUCCUCAGCGUCAGUUAUGGCCCAGUAAGUCGCCUACGCCACUGGUGUUCUUCCUGAUAUCUACGCAUUUCACCGCUACACCAGAAAUUCCACUUACCUCUACCACACUCCAGUCUGCCAGUAUCCAAUGCAGUCCCAGGGUUGAGCCCUGAUCUUUAACAUUAGACUUAACAAACCGCCUACGAACUCUUUACGCCCAAUAAAUCCGGACAAUGCUUGCAUCCUACGUCUUACCGCGGCUGCUGGCAC